This 230-nucleotide long non-coding RNA is filed under the name Rattus norvegicus (Norway rat). Its description in RNAcentral is "long non-coding RNA NONRATT011927". The record is from RNAcentral. Lineage: Eukaryota; Metazoa; Chordata; Mammalia; Rodentia; Muridae.
GAACUCAGUUCUCCCGCGGGCGAUUCUGCGCGCACUUGGAACCUGCAGCACAGACCAGCGGCUCUGCAACCAGCAGGUCCCAGUUCCCAAUCUGGGCUUCCCGGUGGCGGUAUCUUCCACGGACAUAGGAAGCUUUCUGUCUUAACGCGCAUGCUGGUAGCCUAAUUACCAGAGAGACUGUCCUGUUAAAUAAGGACGUCAGUCCGCCCAACAGUAGGAAACUGUGCAAG